AAGUGAACUCAAUUGUUGUAGCAACUGUAGUCAUUAUUAAAAAUCAAAAUUAUCGCCACCAAAUGACGGCAUAGUAGGUUCCACUAUAUGGGGUGGCCAAUCACAUCAACUUUUGAAAGCAGCAGUAUUUACAUUUUGGAUGUGUUCGGUACGAAGGAAUUCUAAAAAUAUAAUCUGAACCUCAAAUGUAGAAGUUUUUUUUUCAAGUUUUCAAACACAACACCAAGUUCUUUCUUCUCUUACUAAUAUUCAAUAAUCAGCCUAAGAAUUAUCUUUCUAAUCAUAAUUCUCGAGAGGCUUCUUUUUAGUAGAAUUUAAUUAGCUGUGAGUCCCGC
RNAcentral lists this long non-coding RNA (335 nucleotides) under Nicotiana benthamiana. RNAcentral's name for it is "long non-coding RNA (NBEN_LNC040297)". Lineage: Eukaryota; Viridiplantae; Streptophyta; Magnoliopsida; Solanales; Solanaceae. The record is from RNAcentral.